This 253-nucleotide ribosomal RNA is filed under the name uncultured bacterium. RNAcentral's name for it is "partial 16S ribosomal RNA". It matches the Rfam family "Bacterial small subunit ribosomal RNA", at positions 524 to 776 of the family's 1533-position model. The record is from RNAcentral.
UACGUAGGUGGCAAGCGUUGUUCGGAAUUAUUGGGCGUAAAGGGCGCGUAGGCGGCCGAUCAAGUCGGGGGUGAAAGCCUGUGGCUCAACCACAGAAUUGCCUUCGAUACUGUUUGGCUUGAGACCGGAAGAGGUUAGUGGAACUGCGAGUGUAGAGGUGAAAUUCGUAGAUAUUCGCAAGAGCACCAGUGGCGAAGGCGGCUGACUGGUCCGGUUCUGACGCUGAGGCGCGAAAGCGUGGGGAGCAAACAGG